Molecule: long non-coding RNA, 1766 nt
Organism: Ostrea edulis (European flat oyster)
Lineage: Eukaryota; Metazoa; Mollusca; Bivalvia; Ostreida; Ostreidae
Exons: 2
Source: RefSeq, a predicted model, not a curated record
UGAAAUUAUGUUUUUCAAAGCGCGGAGAAUACUUUCAAGGGAUGUAAUGUUUCACUAUUUGAGUCGAAUGCUUUUGAGAUAUCGUACAAUACACAUUACAUAUGGAACAGCCCUCGUAUGUAGUAGUACACAAGUUAAGAAGGGGGAGAGAAAUGAUCAAUAAACUGAUGAAUAGAUAUUCAAAAUCAAUCAGAUCGGUGGUAAUAUACGAUUAUUUAAUUGUGUAUAUUUACAAAACAACAGAAACAUAUCAUCUACCUGGUAUAACUUUGAAAAACGUAACCCAAUAAUAAAUCAAUAAAAUCAAUCACAAUUGUGAAAAAAUCAUUUUUGUUUGAGGCCAGGCUAUCUGUUGAUUUGGGUUGGAGCCAAAUUUGGGGCCAGUCCAACUUUGAAGUCAGGUCAGGCCAUUGGGAACAGGCCACGUUUUAUAAUAUUGUGAGGUUUUUGUAUUUUUAUACAUGUAUGUACUUCCCCAUGAAAUAUUUUCUUACUUUUGUUGAAGCGAGCACACAACAAUUUAAACUAUUAAAAACACUUCUGUAGAUUAUAACCUAUAGAAUGUAUCUAGCAUUAUAUUCACGAGAUAUUUCUAAUGAUAUAUUGAGCAUAUUCAUAAUAAUGCGUUUUUGUGUGUACAUAUCAACAUCAUGCAGUUUGAAGGAUCGUAUGUUAGAAUUAACGUGUGUCCAUUAUAGAAAUUACUGCAAGUUAGCGAAGAUACGCUCGCUUCUACGGGAAUUCCAUGUUACACGUAUUAUUACAAAUGAAUUACCUUGCUUUAUUCAUGCAUACCAUUGUGAAAUAGUAUAUUGGGCUAUGUAUACCAUUGUGAAAUAGUAUAUUGGGCUGCAGAUCUCAUUUUUCGCGUCAUGUGUAUCUCUACUUUCUCUUUUGCUUGACGUUGUACCGCGCACGUUACAUAUGUCAUUUCCGGUGGCGUUUUACCUAUCUGUUAAAGGAUCCGCCAACGAAAUAUUAUUGCCCCAGUAAAUUUUGGUAUUAAUACCAGAACUAUUGCUUUGGAGGUAAUUAAUUAAUUACUUAGAUUAGAUUGAAUUAGACUAGUGUUAUUUUCCAGUUUAUUAAUAGUUCAAUGUUAAUUCUAGUUAUAUAUGAACUAUUUUCCAGUCACAAUUUUGGUUGGAUUUCCAACGGAAUCCGUUCCCAUUGGAACGAAAUUGUUGGACGAGGGUAUAAAAGAGGAAGCGCGCGUCCCCACGGGGACUCCAACUUUUUCUACUUUAUCAGAUAGAUGUAGGUAUUAUUUUACGUUAGAAAUGAUUAGGUUUUAGUAAGAGGGGGGAUGAAGUAAAUUUUAUUGCUAUAUUAUGUGACUUUCAGUGAGUUGUAAUAUUCAUUGUUAGGGAUACAGUAUUUUAUUUCUAUUAGGAUUAUAGACGACUGCAGCCUUGCGCUAUAUUUUUUUAGAUUGUGUUCGUUCAGUGUCAUAAUUUAUUAACUCUAUUUGUUAUUUCGUUGAAUAAACCUUGUAAACUUUAAUUCAUCUCUUUAUUACUUGCUAGUAAAUUAUUUGGAGUCCAUCGCGAACGAGUCUACUGCAAUUCACGGUCCAGUGAUCGAACCACUAGACCGCCCAAUAUGAUUUCCACCAAUGCAUGCUGGAUCUAUGCACCACGUGAGGGUUAUCUAAUUCAUAGAAAUACAAAAGAAGCUAGACUAUGUGUAUUUACUAAAUUCAUCGGGAUGGAUACACCCAAAUUCUCUCUAAUAUCGACGAGGAUUUUGAUGAUGAUAAUUUCAAU